This is a long non-coding RNA of Vombatus ursinus (common wombat), 562 nucleotides long. RefSeq lists it as uncharacterized. The transcript is spliced from 3 exons. NCBI's taxonomy places the organism in Eukaryota, Metazoa, Chordata, Mammalia, Diprotodontia, Vombatidae. The record is from RefSeq and is a predicted model, not a curated record.
UCUAAAAGGAGGCGCCCCAGGUCCUCCUGCAGGUUUCUUGUCCCAACUUACCUGUAUUUCAAGUUCCUAAAAGCGCUCUGGUACAUAUCUGCGGUACUGCAACUAAAAUGCCUUUCAGGCCGUGUCACUGUGUGUGUGUGUUUUUUUUCUGUAUCACAGGUGUGUGCAGUACAAUUCAAGUGAACAAAACUUUGAGCGUCUCUUAGGUCCCAGAUGCUGUGCUUGGUGCUGGGGACAGCAAGAUCAGCGGUGACACCUCAAGGAGGUUGUAUUCCUCUUGGCUGAAGGGAUGAGGAAAAUGAAAAACCAGACAGGGAAGACAGUUGUUGAAUGGCACACAGGUGGUAAGGACUAAAGAGCCAUGAUGAGCAACGAUGAGGACAGCCAGUUUUGAAGUGGUAAGUUUACAAAUACAGAGAGGAGGCCAUGCAACAGUUGGAGGCCCGGAGGAGUAGCUCAAGGCUCAAUUGACCGGUUUCUUAUUCUGCACAGGCAUCACAGUUGAAACUUGCUAAGGUCAGUCGGGAAGGUGAGGAACUUAGCCUCUAGAAGCCAGUGCAAA